Molecule: long non-coding RNA, 230 nt
Organism: Xiphophorus hellerii (green swordtail)
Lineage: Eukaryota; Metazoa; Chordata; Actinopteri; Cyprinodontiformes; Poeciliidae
Exons: 3
Source: RefSeq, a predicted model, not a curated record
AAAACAAGAGGCACAAAAAAUGUUCUUGCCGUUUAAGCGGUAAUUUGUUCUUUGGCCUUUUUUAUUACACUUUAAACUAAAAUGAUCUCUUUAACCCAGUGUUUCUCAAUUCCGGUCCUCAGGCUCUCCUGCUUUGCAUGUUUUAGGUGUUUCCAUUGUGCCACACACCUGGCUUGAACCUAUGGGCGAUUAACAGGCCUCUGCAGCACUUGAUGCCUGUAGAAAUGGUU